GUUCCUUAAGGGAAGGACAGAGGAACAUCCUCUUCAGACUGACACAAAAAGGGUUAAAGACAUUUCCAAAUCUCCCUGCAAUCCAGGAGGAAGGGUGGAUUUUUUUUUUUUCCAUCCUCCAUCAAGUACAGAGGCUCUGAGCGCAGAAGAAUUUCACUACAAUGCUGCAAGUUUCAUUUCAUAACAGGAAACAAAAGAGAACGUGAUUGUUUGACCUGG
This is a long non-coding RNA of Lagopus leucura (white-tailed ptarmigan), 219 nucleotides long. RefSeq lists it as uncharacterized. The record is from RefSeq and is a predicted model, not a curated record. Lineage: Eukaryota; Metazoa; Chordata; Aves; Galliformes; Phasianidae. The transcript has 3 exons.